GACGAACGCUGGCGGCGUGCUUAACACAUGCAAGUCGAACGGAAAGGCCCUGCUUUUGUGGGGUGCUCGAGUGGCGAACGGGUGAGUAACACGUGAGUAACCUGCCCUUGACUUUGGGAUAACUUCAGGAAACUGGGGCUAAUACCGGAUAGGAGCUCCUGCUGCAUGGUGGGGGUUGGAAAGAUUCGGCGGUUGGGGAUGGACUCGCGGCUUAUCAGCUUGUUGGUGGGGUAGUGGCUUACCAAGGCUUUGACGGGUAGCCGGCCUGAGAGGGUGACCGGCCACAUUGGGACUGAGAUACGGCCCAGACUGCUACGGGAGGCAGCAGUGGGGAAUAUUGCACAAUGGGCGGAAGCCUGAUGCAGCAACGCCGCGUGCGGGAUGACGGCCUUCUGGUUGUAAACCGCUUUCGCCUGUGACGAAGCGUGAGUGACGGUAAUGGGUAAAGAAGCACCGGCUAACUACGUG
This 468-nucleotide ribosomal RNA is filed under the name uncultured bacterium. Its description in RNAcentral is "partial 16S ribosomal RNA". It matches the Rfam family "Bacterial small subunit ribosomal RNA", at positions 28 to 507 of the family's 1533-position model. The record is from RNAcentral.